GAUGAACGCUGGCGGUGUGCCUAAUACAUGCAAGUCGAGCGAACAGACGAGGAGCUUGCUCCUCUGACGUUAGCGGCGGACGGGUGAGUAACACGUGGAUAACCUACCUAUAAUACUGGGAUAACUUCGGGAAACCGGAGCUAAUACCGGCUAAUACAUUGAACCGCAUGGUUCAAUAGUGAAAGACGGUUUUGCUGUCACUUAUAGAUGGAUCCGCGCCGCAUUAGCUAGUUGGUAAGGUAACGGCUUACCAAGGCAACGAUGCGUAGCCGACCUGAGAGGAUGAUCGGCCACACUGGAACUGAGACACGGUCCAGACUCCUACGGGAGGCAGCAGUAGGGAAUCUUCCGCAAUGGGCGAAAGCUUGACGGAGCCACGCCGCGUGAGUGAUGAAGGUCUUCGGAUCGUAAAACUCUGUUAUUAGGGAAGAACAAAUGUGUAAGUAACUAUGCACGUCUUGACGGUACCUAAUCAGAAAGCCACGGCUAACUACGUG
Molecule: ribosomal RNA, 497 nt
Filed under: uncultured bacterium
Lineage: Bacteria
Description: partial 16S ribosomal RNA
Rfam family: Bacterial small subunit ribosomal RNA
Source: RNAcentral